GACGCUGGGGUGGGCUGGGCUGGGCUGGGCUGGGGUGGGCUGGGGUGGGCUGCACGGUCC
This 60-nucleotide microRNA precursor is filed under the name Sorex araneus (European shrew). RNAcentral's name for it is "miRNA (ENSSARG00000017545.1)". The record is from RNAcentral. Lineage: Eukaryota; Metazoa; Chordata; Mammalia; Eulipotyphla; Soricidae.